Long non-coding RNA from Hibiscus syriacus, 250 nucleotides. RefSeq lists it as uncharacterized. NCBI's taxonomy places the organism in Eukaryota, Viridiplantae, Streptophyta, Magnoliopsida, Malvales, Malvaceae. The transcript is spliced from 2 exons. The record is from RefSeq and is a predicted model, not a curated record.
CGAACUCGAGAAACGGGGCGAAUGCAAGUCCAAAAGUGCCAUGCUACUUUAUAUUCGAGGACUCGUUAUUAGAUAAUGGGAACAGUAAUAACCUUGCAACGUCGGCCGAAGUAAACUAUCCACCUUACGGGAUUGAUUUUUCCCGAGGACCAACCGGAAGGUUUACCGAUGGUCGAACCAUGCAUGAUUUUAUCUUUAAGUUUUUGGGGUUCGAAGAUUAUAUGCCACCUUUCGCCGAAUCGGAAGGGAA